Molecule: ribosomal RNA, 274 nt
Filed under: uncultured bacterium
Lineage: Bacteria
Description: partial 16S ribosomal RNA
Rfam family: Bacterial small subunit ribosomal RNA
Source: RNAcentral
AUACGGAGGGUGCAAGCGUUACUCGGAAUCACUGGGCGUAAAGCGCGCGCAGGCGGCUAUUUAAGUUGGAUGUGAAAGCCUAUGGCUCAACCAUAGAACUGCAUCCAAAACUAUUUAGCUAGAGUGUGGGAGAGGAAGAUGGAAUUAGUUGUGUAGGGGUAAAAUCCGUAGAGAUAACUAGGAAGACCAAAAGCGAAGGCAAUCUUCUGGAACACUACUGACGCUGAGGCGCGAAAGCGUGGGGAGCAAACAGGAUUAGAAACCCGAGUAGUCC